GAAGGAAGGGAGGGAAAAGAAGAAAGAGGAAGGAAGGAAGGAAGAAAAAAAAAAAGAAACUCUCCAGCUGCUAGUCUAUACUUUAUCUAGGAAUGAGUAUGCCAUAACACCAUUUGAUGCCAUGCUUAAAGGGCAAAUGGCCAAAUUAAUUUCGGUGACAAACAGAUCUUGUAUAAAGCUACACUUUGGCUGAAAGACAGUAUAGAUUGCCAAGAGUCCGUCAAAGGAAAAGAAUUAGUGGAUCUGGG
RNAcentral lists this long non-coding RNA (248 nucleotides) under Homo sapiens (human). Its description in RNAcentral is "non-protein coding lnc-CHTF8-5:1". The record is from RNAcentral. Lineage: Eukaryota; Metazoa; Chordata; Mammalia; Primates; Hominidae.